This 463-nucleotide ribosomal RNA is filed under the name uncultured bacterium. RNAcentral describes it as "partial 16S ribosomal RNA". It matches the Rfam family "Bacterial small subunit ribosomal RNA", at positions 36 to 507 of the family's 1533-position model. The record is from RNAcentral.
UCCUCCCUCUUGCUUCGUGCUUAACACAUGCAAGUCGAACGGAAAGGCCUUUUCGGAGGUACUCGAGUGGCGAACGGGUGAGUAACACGUGGGUGAUCUGCCCUGCACUCUGGGAUAAGCCUGGGAAACUGGGUCUAAUACCGGAUAGGACCGCACUUUAGUGUGUGUGGUGGAAAGUUUUUUCGGUGUAGGAUGAGCCCGCGGCCUAUCAGCUUGUUGGUGGGGUAAUGGCCUACCAAGGCGGCGACGGGUAGCCGGACUGAGAGGUUGGUCGGCCACAUUGGGACUGAGAUACGGCCCAGACUCCUACGGGAGGCAGCAGUGGGGAAUAUUGCACAAUGGGCGCAAGCCUGAUGCAGCGACGCCGCGUGGGGGAUGACGGCCUUCGGGUUGUAAACUCCUUUCGCCAGGGACGAAGCGUUUUGUGACGGUACCUGGAGAAGAAGCACCGGCUAACUACGUG